RNAcentral lists this ribosomal RNA (465 nucleotides) under Vreelandella stevensii. Its description in RNAcentral is "partial 16S ribosomal RNA". It matches the Rfam family "Bacterial small subunit ribosomal RNA", at positions 338 to 795 of the family's 1533-position model. Lineage: Bacteria; Pseudomonadati; Pseudomonadota; Gammaproteobacteria; Oceanospirillales; Halomonadaceae. The record is from RNAcentral.
CCUACGGGUGGCAGCAGUGGGGAAUAUUGGACAAUGGGGGGAACCCUGAUCCAGCCAUGCCGCGUGUGUGAAGAAGGCCCUCGGGUUGUAAAGCACUUUCAGUGAGGAAGAACGCCUGGUGGUUAAUACCCAUCAGGAAAGACAUCACUCACAGAAGAAGCACCGGCUAACUCCGUGCCAGCAGCCGCGGUAAUACGGAGGGUGCGAGCGUUAAUCGGAAUUACUGGGCGUAAAGCGCGCGUAGGUGGCUUGAUAAGCCGGGUGUGAAAGCCCCGGGCUCAACCUGGGAACGGCAUCCGGAACUGUCAAGCUAGAGUGCAGGAGAGGAGGGUAGAAUUCCCGGUGUAGCGGUGAAAUGCGUAGAGAUUGGGAGGAAUACCAGUGGCGAAGGCGGCCUUCUGGACUGAAACUGACACUGAGGUGCGAAAGCGUGGGUAGCAAACAGGAUUAGAUACCCGAGUAGUC